This 1203-nucleotide long non-coding RNA is filed under the name Gallus gallus (chicken). Lineage: Eukaryota; Metazoa; Chordata; Aves; Galliformes; Phasianidae. The record is from RNAcentral.
UUGGCCAAUUGCACAACUUCAGUCUUUACAGGUUCUACUGCAAUCAAGAUAUCCUGUUCUAUAGCCAUAGGGAGCACGGCGUAACCACAGUAGUCUAUGUGUUCUCCUAUUAAGUUGACUCGCCCUGGUGCACGAACAUAAAACUUGGGAGCUGAUCCAAAUUUUGCUAUAAAACUCUCCUUCAGCUUCAGCAAUCUGGGCUGCUCCACCAGCUGCACCGGGACGGUGCUGGGGGCGUCUGCUGCCAUGGCGACCCCUCCCCGAAGCCCCGGGCGGAGGCGGGCGGUCGCUGCGGCGGUCACGAGACAGACAGACACCGUCCUUCCGGGUGGCGGAGCUGGCGGCCCGGCCUCCUCCGCUCUCGGCGCGCGGCACCCGGGCCGGGCCCCGCGAAGCCACAGUGCGCGGCCGCUCGCCCGGCGGCACGGUGCUGAGGCGGCUGCGCGCGUGAACGGAGCGCGUGGCGCUCGUUCUGUCAGAGCUCGGCUGGCAGCGGAGAAACAUUACGAACUGGACCCAGCGCGGCGCGAGCCAAGCAAACGGGUCUGCGCGCUGGGAUUCCGGCGCGUGUCACGGAGCACGGCCCGAGCGGGCAGCGCUUCUCCCCGGCGUUGUUUUUCUGCCUCGGUUGUGAGGCGCGGUUCUGCCGCUUCUCUCGGCCAGGCCGCCUCAGUCUGUUUCCCCUCAGCAUCACGGGCAGCCGUUACCCCGAGGAGCCGCGCUGUCGGAUGUGCUUGUAAGCACAGCCCCGCUGCUGUCGUGGUGGCUGCCGCUGUUUGUCUUAAAGCCCCUCACAGUCACCUCAGGAAGGUUUAAAUCGCGAUCCCCGUCACAUCCAGAUGGAGUCGCAGGUUAGCACGCCUUGCUGGGGAGGUUUUUUACCUCAGGUUAGCAAGGGUUACAGAAUCGGAAGGGAGGUUUUAAAGGACAAGCGGCCCCGGGAGCAAAAGCAAACGCAAACAUACAAAAAGCCGUAACAACACAGAACGCCCCACAGAUCUCUAGCGACACGAUCCGCAGUGCAAACACCGCCGGGUGUCUGUGACACCACAGACCCAGUGGAGAUAGCAGAACACAAGGAUCGCACGUUCGUUCCCCUCACGCUUGCAGUUAAUGAUGGUAAAAAUCCCUACAAGCCCAGCGGCUCCGCGCCCUCUGAGGCUCUUUUUCCUUUUUCCCCUCAGUUUAGGCCUUUUAAAUCUG